Molecule: ribosomal RNA, 1073 nt
Filed under: Kocuria sediminis
Lineage: Bacteria; Bacillati; Actinomycetota; Actinomycetes; Micrococcales; Micrococcaceae
Description: bacterial SSU rRNA
Rfam family: Bacterial small subunit ribosomal RNA
Source: RNAcentral
AGCAGUGGGGAAUAUUGCACAAUGGGCGCAAGCCUGAUGCAGCGACGCCGCGUGAGGGAUGACGGCCUUCGGGUUGUAAACCUCUUUCAGCAGGGAAGAAGCCACAAGUGACGGUACCUGCAGAAGAAGCGCCGGCUAACUACGUGCCAGCAGCCGCGGUAAUACGUAGGGCGCAAGCGUUGUCCGGAAUUAUUGGGCGUAAAGAGCUCGUAGGCGGUUUGUCGCGUCUGCUGUGAAAGCCCGGGGCUCAACCCCGGGUCUGCAGUGGGUACGGGCAGACUAGAGUGCAGUAGGGGAGACUGGAAUUCCUGGUGUAGCGGUGAAAUGCGCAGAUAUCAGGAGGAACACCGAUGGCGAAGGCAGGUCUCUGGGCUGUUACUGACGCUGAGGAGCGAAAGCAUGGGGAGCGAACAGGAUUAGAUACCCUGGUAGUCCAUGCCGUAAACGUUGGGCACUAGGUGUGGGGGACAUUCCACGUUCUCCGCGCCGUAGCUAACGCAUUAAGUGCCCCGCCUGGGGAGUACGGCCGCAAGGCUAAAACUCAAAGGAAUUGACGGGGGCCCGCACAAGCGGCGGAGCAUGCGGAUUAAUUCGAUGCAACGCGAAGAACCUUACCAAGGCUUGACAUUCACCGGACCGCCUCAGAGAUGGGGUUUCCCUUCGGGGUCGGUGGACAGGUGGUGCAUGGUUGUCGUCAGCUCGUGUCGUGAGAUGUUGGGUUAAGUCCCGCAACGAGCGCAACCCUCGUUCUAUGUUGCCAGCACGUGAUGGUGGGGACUCAUAGGAGACUGCCGGGGUCAACUCGGAGGAAGGUGGGGAUGACGUCAAAUCAUCAUGCCCCUUAUGUCUUGGGCUUCACGCAUGCUACAAUGGCCGGUACAAAGGGUUGCGAUACUGUGAGGUGGAGCUAAUCCCAAAAAGCCGGUCUCAGUUCGGAUUGAGGUCUGCAACUCGACCUCAUGAAGUCGGAGUCGCUAGUAAUCGCAGAUCAGCAACGCUGCGGUGAAUACGUUCCCGGGCCUUGUACACACCGCCCGUCAAGUCACGAAAGUUGGUAACACCCGAAGCCGGUG